AUUCCAGCUCCAUGAGUGUAUAUUAAAGUUGUUGCGGUUAGAAAGUUCGUAGUCGAAUUUCGAAUCGAUGUGGCUGCGUCUCUCAAGAUGAGAGUACACUUCUCGCAUGAUUCAUUACUUUCCAAUGCAGUGUUGAGCACUUAAUUGAGCUUUUCAUGUGCUUGGAAACUUUUACUGUGAACAAAUCAAAGCGUUCAAAGCAGGGGAUUCCCCAUUGAAUGUUCAAGCAUGGGAUAAUGGAACACGAUCGUAUUUCUUUUCAUUGGUCUGAGAAAUAAGAUAAUGAUUAAUAGGAGUGAAUGUGGCCAUUAGUAUAAUGAAGUGAGAGGUGAAAUUCGAUGAUCUUCAUUGGACUAACAGAUGCGAAGGCGUUUGGCAAGUGCACAUUCAUCA
RNAcentral lists this ribosomal RNA (393 nucleotides) under Metazoa sp. RNAcentral's name for it is "partial small subunit ribosomal RNA". It matches the Rfam family "Eukaryotic small subunit ribosomal RNA", at positions 582 to 975 of the family's 1831-position model. Lineage: Eukaryota; Metazoa. The record is from RNAcentral.